This 295-nucleotide ribosomal RNA is filed under the name Nicotiana attenuata. RNAcentral's name for it is "rRNA SSU_rRNA_eukarya". The stretch from base 1 to 153 matches the Rfam family "Bacterial small subunit ribosomal RNA", at positions 1039 to 1199 of the family's 1533-position model. The record is from RNAcentral. Lineage: Eukaryota; Viridiplantae; Streptophyta; Magnoliopsida; Solanales; Solanaceae.
UGUUGCAUGGCUGUCGUCAGCUCGUGUCGUGAGAUGUUUGGUCAAGUCCUAUAACGAGCGAAGCCCUCGUUUUGUGUUGCUGAGACAUGCGCCUAAGGAGAAAGUCUUUGCAACCGAAGUGACCCGAGGAGCUGAGUGACGUGCCAUCGCUACUAAUUGAGUGCCAGCACCUAGCUGUGCUGUCAGUAAGAAGGUAGCCAGCGCCUUUUGAAGCAUUUUCUAUUUCUAGAUAGAAAGGGCCUUUCUCGCUUGUUUAGUAAAGUCAAGUUUUUGGCCUUAUCCUGCAGGUGACGAC